GCAGUGGCGCUGCAGCGUGCCCUCCAUGCCCGACAAGACCGUCUGCGAGAAGCACUACGUCCAGGCCAAGAAGCGCUCCGCCUCCUCCGCGCUCCGUGCCUCGCUCCGCCGCUCCUCAGCCUCCUCCCUCGCGCCCGCCUUCCCAUUCUCCUCCUCCUCCGCCGCUCGCCUCCGCGCCGCCGAUGACGACCCUCCCAUGGCGGUCGCGAGGCCCCUCUACGGCAGGGUCACCGGGGAGGCGGUGUACGUGGCUGAACCGGUGCCGGUGCCCGCGUGGAAGGGGUCGCCUACGAAGGGCUGCCUCGGUGCAAUGCGGAUGGUGGCAGGACCACGGCGUGCUAGUCGGCAGAGGCCCACUAUGGUUUCCUGGUGGCAGCGCUGAAGGGAUAAGGAGUUGCCACUAGUGCCGGAAGGCUGGGGGUGUCAUCUGGUGUACUAGCUGUGACAGGAGAGGCUACUGUGCCAGAUGCAUCUCCAGAUGGUCUCAACUCUCAAGUCAGUACCAGUAGCAGAGUUGAAUGUUUGGUAAUUUGGCUAUUUGCACUAUGGGUUGCUUGCUGCUAGAGCAGAGGUCUUAAAAUCUGGCAAUGGCAAUGGUUACAACAACUGUAUGUUAGAAGGAUAUCAAGGGCAAUAUAAAUAUGGCUCUGAAACAUUUGAAGCCUCAGCUUCACCUUCUGGUGCAAGUUAUUCAAAAUGCAAGAAUGAUGUUGUGAAAUCUCUUAAAGUGGAUGAAGCAUGUACCCACCUGAAAUGUUCUUUUGGUGGCAUUUGGAAUGGUGGCGGUGGUGCUGGACAGAAAAAACUUUUUGUGGCAUCGUUUUUCUUUGACAUGGCUGAUGAGGAAAAUGGAAGUCAUGCGACUAAGAGGGGCACGUACGACGAGAACCUGGUGAACGGACAGAUUGCGCAGCAAUUGACAGGGACUCAUCUGGUUGCCAUCUUUCUGAAUCGUAUCUGCUGAAUGCUCGAGCUCUGGGGAUGGAUCAUGGAUGGCUACGAGGAGGCCGCGAUUGAGGAUGGCUCCCAAUGUUUUCUAAUCGGUUGAUCGUUUCUAAUUGACACAGAGGCGAUCAACUGAUUAGAUCGAUUCUUACUUCACAACUGAUGUCUUCGAUGGUGAUAAAUACCAGGAUUGUAUUGGUGACAUUAUUGCGCAACUUUGGAGUCAGUUCAUUCUAUUUGAGUCAGUGUAUUUAUAAUGAUAUUACAUAUUUAUAUCGUCAAAAUAAUAUUAGUGUUAAUGUGAUUUGUUGGC
Zea mays is the source of this 1258-nucleotide RNA transcript. It is a transcript of the gene named apyrase pseudogene, with no coding region annotated. The transcript is spliced from 7 exons. NCBI's taxonomy places the organism in Eukaryota, Viridiplantae, Streptophyta, Magnoliopsida, Poales, Poaceae. The record is from RefSeq and is marked validated.